This is a long non-coding RNA of Bos taurus (domestic cattle), 388 nucleotides long. The record is from Ensembl. NCBI's taxonomy places the organism in Eukaryota, Metazoa, Chordata, Mammalia, Artiodactyla, Bovidae.
GUUCUGAAGUCGGAGGAUGGGAAGGGUGCAGAGGGAACUGCGACUUUGAUGACAGCAUUUGACAGUGAGCAUGGGGAUUCCAGUGCAGAGGAAACCAUUUCUGCUUAAUGACCCUGGCUGCAGUGAAGAUGAAAUAGAUGUGGCUUCCUCCCUCCAUCCCUUAUCCUGGCCUCAUCAGAAUCACAGCUUCUUAAGGAUGAACCCCUUCGAGUGAAAUUGCUAAGCAAAGGGCAGGCACUUUGUGAAGAUGUGUGAUGCAUAUUUCCAGUUGCUCUACAGAGAAGCUGUACCACUGUACACCAGCAAAAAAUGGGAGGGCCUUUCCUUGUGAAUCCUCACUAAUACUGCCACCUUAAAAAAACCUCAAAACAGAUCCAAACACUGUAAA